CGUUGAGAGAUUCAUGGUUAAGGAACUAGGCAAAUUGACCCCGUAACUUCGGGAUAAGGGGUCCUCAUAGCAAUAUGAGGCGCAGAGAAUAGGUCCAGGCAACUGUUUAACAAAAACACAGGGCUGUGCAAACUCGAAAGAUGACGUAUACAGCCUGACACCUGCCCGGUGCUGGAAGGUUAAGAGGAGAUGUCACUAGUAAUAGGAAGCAUUGAAUUGAAGCCCCAGUAAACGGCGGCCGUAACUAUAACGGUCCUAAGGUAGCGAAAUUCCUUGUCGGGUAAGUUCCGACCUGCACGAAUGGUGUAAUGAUCCGGACGCUGUCUCAACCAUGAGCUCAGUGAAAUUGUAGUAUCGGUGAAGAUGCCGAUUACCCGCGAUGGGACGAAAAGACCCCGUGAACCUUUACUAUAGCUUAGCACUGACCUUGGUCAUCCGAUGUGUAGGAUAGGCCGGAGGCUUUGAAGCAUGGGCGCCAGCCUGUGUGGAGCCAUCCUUGAAAUACGGCCCUUUGGCUGUCUGAGGUCUAACCCGCUUGAUGUGGGGACACUGCUUGGUGGGUAGUUUGACUGGGGUGGUCGCCUCCAAAAGCGUAACGGAGGCUUCCAAAGGUGCCCUCGGGCCGAUUGGUAACCGACCUCAUAGAGUGUAAUGGCAUAAGGGCGCUUGACUGGGAGGCAGACAUGCCGAGCAGGCAGGAAACUGGGGCAUAGUGAUCCGGCGGAUGUGUAUGGAAACUCCGUCGCUCAAAGGAUAAAAGGUACUCCGGGGAUAACAGGCUGAUCCCCCCCAAGAGCUCAUAUCGACGGGGUGGUUUGGCACCUCGAUGUCGGCUCGUCACAUCCUGGGGCUGGAGANNNNNNNNNGUGAGACAGUUCGGUCUCUAUCUAUCGUGGGCGUUGGAGUUUUGCGUGGUGCCGACACUAGUACGAGAGGACCGUGUUGGACAGACCUCCGGUUUACCAGUUGUGCCGCCAGGUGCACCGCUGGGUAUCUGAGUCUGGAUUGGAUAAGCGCUGAAAGCAUCUAAGUGCGAAGCCAGCCGCAAGAUGAGAACUCCUCAUAAGGGUCGUCAUAGACGAUGACGUUGAUAGGGUGUAGGUGUAAAGACGGUGACGUCAAAGCCGAGCACUACUAAUU
Molecule: ribosomal RNA, 1140 nt
Filed under: Actinomyces bouchesdurhonensis
Lineage: Bacteria; Bacillati; Actinomycetota; Actinomycetes; Actinomycetales; Actinomycetaceae
Description: partial 23S ribosomal RNA
Rfam family: Bacterial large subunit ribosomal RNA
Source: RNAcentral